This 492-nucleotide ribosomal RNA is filed under the name uncultured bacterium. RNAcentral's name for it is "partial 16S ribosomal RNA". It matches the Rfam family "Bacterial small subunit ribosomal RNA", at positions 29 to 507 of the family's 1533-position model. The record is from RNAcentral.
AAUGAACGCUGGCGGUAGGCCUAACACAUGCAAGUCGAACGGCAGCACAGUAAAAGCUUGCUCUUACGGGUGGCGAGUGGCGGACGGGUGAGGAAUACAUCGGAAUCUACUUUUUCGUGGGGGAUAACGUAGGGAAACUUACGCUAAUACCGCAUACGACCUACGGGUGAAAGCAGGGGAUCUUCGGACCUUGCGCGAUUGAAUGAGCCGAUGUCUGAUUAGCUAGUUGGCGGGGUAAAGGCCCACCAAGGCGACGAUCCGUAGCUGGUCUGAGAGGAUGAUCAGCCACACUGGAACUGGGACACGGUCCAGACUCCUACGGGAGGCAGCAGUGGGGAAUAUUGGACAAUGGGCGCAAGCCUGAUCCAGCCAUACCGCGUGGGUGAAGAAGGCCUUCGGGUUGUAAAGCCCUUUUGUUGGGAAAGAAAAGCAGCAGGUUAAUACCCCGCUGUUCUGACGGUACCCAAAGAAUAAGCACCGGCUAACUUCGUG